UUUCAUUGAAAACUUCCUGUUUCAAAUUUCAGUUUUCAUAUUUCUCCUCGAGUAAUAUAUCCAAAAUUAUUAAUUCGAAAUAUUCUGCUGCUCAAUGAUGACAACAUUAUCUUAUGAGAAUAUAGAUUGAUUACUAGAAGGGCAUGAAAUAUUCGGGUUACGAGAAAUAGGCUGUGUCCCAAGAACACUAAUCAUGGUCGCAACUCCCACAUAACACAGUCUGAGAGAUAAGCAGUGGCAAUGUUAUGUCAGACCAAAAAUACCUGUUUCUCCCUAAGCAUCAGAGGUGAAUGGCAUAACUGUUCGAAAUGGUAGAAUGCAUCACAAUGGAAAAUUGUUGAAACAUCUGACAUAUCUAGUGCUUUAGAUGCAUUUAUUGAUUUUCUCUCGAAAAUUGGAAGUGGAACAUGUCUGUAUGGACACAAAUUCACACAAUAUCAAAUCUUUUGAUUGCCAUGUUCUGUUUAAUGCUUUAGAAGCAGUUGGAAAAAUCGAGAAGAUUAAUACUUUUUUCCCUCAUGCUUAAAGAUAUUGACUUAAUAAUGGUAUAUAGUUUUAUCAUGACAAGCUACAGACCAAGUUCAAAUGUUGUUCCUGUCUGAUGAUUUUGUGCAGAGUUAUGGUCCUUGGACAUAGAAAAUUCAGUCAAAUAAUCAGUUUUCCACACUGUUUUUCUUCAUGCUUGAAGAUAUUGACUUGAUAUUUGUUAUAUAUAGUUUACACCAUGACAAGUUAUAGAUCAAGUUAGCAUUUUGUUCCAGUACAAUUAAUUUUAACCUGUAGGGGACUAUGUAUUGCCAUGCAAUACUCUAAGAAUGCUUGUUAGUAUAAAAAUUGGUUGGGCUCCUAAAAUUUCAACUGGGCCCCUGAAAAAAAUAUUUUAGGGGCCCAGCUGGCCCCCGGAGGAAAACUGUUAAGUUUAGUCCCUGAGACUAUUGUAAGAUGUUAAUACAUCGCAUCAAGAGGAAUCGCCAUGACAUUCAUGCCUUUUGAUUGACAUAUUUUCUUUGAAGAAAUGCUGGUAAAUGAGGCAUUGAUUACUUAUUUUUGCUUUUCAAAGAAUGAAAUAACAGCUUGGAUACAAUUUGAAAUUGGCAAAGGCAAAGUCUCCUCUUCCAAAUCUUUCAAUGAUACUCCAUGUCUUGUAAAAAGAUGUGAAAGUAUGAUAGUGUGGAGAACCAUUGAUAAAUCAUCAAUAAAUACUAGCAUUCCAGUACUGGUAACUAAAAAUGAAGAACUGGAAGAAGAAGACAUUUGUAGCAAUGUAUUUUCAUGUCCUGAAGACGGCUGUGUUGCAACAUUUUUAAAAUAUGGACAACUAUGUAAUCACCAUAACAGGGGCAAACAUACUUGCCCUCAGAAUAAUUUAAAUCUGAAGUGAGCACACACAAAUUAACUAUGCUGCUUUAAUGGAAAGCAAAAGUUCUGCGGAAAAAGUUAUUCAUUCCUGUAUAACAAAUGCAAUACAAGCAAAUUCUAUAUUAAAGAAAGGAUGGGCAUUGAAGAGUAAGAGAGAGGUUAAGAGAUUUUCCAAAGAGCAGAUAGAAAAUAUGACAGAGAAAUUUCAGUUUGGUGAAUCCAAUGGAUAUAAGUGUGACCCAGAUGAGGUGGCAAGAGAGAUGAGACAUGUAAAAAACAGUAAGGGCAUCCAGAAAUUUCAACUAGAACACUUUCUUUCUCUUUCUUAAAUUGCUAGGUUUUUUUUAGCAUAUUUUCACUAAAAAAAAAAAAAGCAUCAAAUACUGUUUUUUGACGAUUGUGAUCUGAUAGCAGAAGAAUCUAAAACUGAGAUGUGUCAGCUAACUGAAUUAGCAAAUACUGUAUUGUAAACAUUUGACAUUUUUGGUCUUUUUUCAAAACCUCUCAUCUGAUUGAUGUAGUUAAUAUUUGAAAAAUUUCUUCUCAAUAACUUCUUAAAAAAUUGAUUGAUUGAUUGUUGUUUUUGCUUAAUGUCCAGUAGCAAAUAUUUCAUGCAUUUUCAGGAACACUUAUUGAAUUGAAACCAAGCUGUGCGACUUAAAUCAUUUUGUGAGAAGCUGUGACAUCCACGGAUCCAGUACCCCACCUUUUUUCCUAUACAUGUAUUUUGAAUAUUCAAAAUUUAUACCCUUUUAUAUACAUUUUGACCAACAAUAGACCUAUAUAGCUAUAUUUAACUACUUCAUGGAGAGUUAAAUAACAAAUAUCUGAUGCAUUUAUCACUGAGGUUAAAAUUUCAUCUUUAGAAAAUAUUCAGUUUUAGAAGCUCAUGAUAUGACCUACAACCUUAUCAACUAUUUGUAAUAUUUUUCUUGCCCUUUUAUAUAUAUUUAAUACAAAGCUCAUCCCUUCUGCUAAAUACAUAAAGGGAAACAUACAGCCUUCAACAAUAGACAUGAGUUUACUCAAUAUGUGAAGCUCUAAACAUUUACAUAACUUGUGAAUGAAUUAAACAGAAACAACAAUAAGUCCCAAUUGAUUUGAAACUGAUGCUAUAUAUAGUGUCAUCUGAUGAUGCAAUUUAAAGGUUUUUAUUCAGAUUGGCAUGUGAUCCUAAGCUGGUUUUGGUAAAACUGAUACUGUGGAUUCAUUUAUUUUCGUGGGUACCAAUUUUCGUGGAUUAAGGAAAACUUACAUGUUCGUGAAUAUCUAAUUUCGUGGUUUUGCCGAAGUCUGCAUACAAGCCUAUAGAAAAUUUGGUAUUCGUUGAACAUUUAAUUUCGUGGUUCACCUGUACCCACGAAAUCCACGAAAAUUGGUAUCCAACGAAUAAUAAUGAAUCCACAUCUUUUUGCAGUGAACACCGGGAUUAUUUUGUCAGAUAUAAAAAAUGGUACAAUCUCUUGUGUGUUAAAAUACAUGAUUUUGUGAAUAUCAAAGAAGUAAAGUAAAAUAAUUGUAGCAUGCUGUGUUGAUAAUGUAUGGACUUUCACAGUUAAACAUGUUAAAGAAAGAUGUUCAGGUAGAUAUUGGUUAUUAAUCAUGUUUACAGUUAAAGGGGUAUUAGCUACGAGAUAUAAAAAAAAUUAGAAUAUGAUUUUUUUUUUUGUUCAAUCAUUAAUGAAAGUGAAAUAGUGAAAUAAUAAUUCGCUUUUAGCAGCUUUAAAAGGAAAAGAAUGUCAACAUUGAAAGUGAAACAAGGAUGAACCAUUUCGUUGACUGAUUCGAUCGACAAAAAAUCAUUCUUAAACAGGCAAAAACGACAAUUAACUUAUUUUUUUAGCCUGUAACAUGAAAUCAAACAGACCAAGAAAAGUCCAAUUGCACGAGGUCGCUAUCUAUUUAUAGUUAUGUUUAUAUCGGGUUAUGUGACCGUUGUAGGUUAUUGGAGGUCAUCUUGAUGAUUAAUUACAUGGUGUCUAGACUAAAAUAUACACGAAAUGCUGAUAUAUAUUGAGUCCAUGCAUUGUUUAUUGUUUAUUUCAGACUUAUUGUAAUUUGGAUAUACGUUUUAGUAUAUUAUAAAUCAAAUAUGAGAAUUUGAGUCAAAUCAGUGAACAUGAAUUUGACAGCUAAUGCCCCUUUAAUGGAAUACAGGAUUUAAUGUCAACAUAUUGCUUAUCUACAUUGUUUUAAAAUAUUGUACAAAAUUUAAGUACAAUUCCAAUGUAUCAUUAAAAGAUUGAAAUUUUUAGCAAAAACUUCACCCUGUUGCUAAGGUAAUUUAUUUGUUGCUAAGGAUUUCGCUGCUUUCAAUGCAGAUGUUAAAUUUUGACAUUGCUUGUAUAUAUUUUCUUGAAACAUUGCAGCAUACCUGAAUACAUUAAAAAAAAUGUGAUUGUAAACAUUUUACAUGUUGCUCAUGUUCUAUCGUCGUUGCAAUGGUCUUAAUUGUGUAGCUUUAAAUUUUUUCUUUGAAUUAUACUGAAGCAAUUGGGUAUUGCUUAAAAAAAUUGUGAAGAUACAUGAUACAUUUUAUCAAUUUUGAAUAAACCUACAGAUUUUCAUUUUAAGCACUGAAAAUAUCAUGUUGCUAAGGCACCAAUUAUGUUGCUAUGGAAUAUUUGUUAUUGUUGUUUGGUCUUUUCUUUUGAUAUAAUUGUAAAAAUUCACUGUUGCUUGUAUGAGUUUUCUAGAUACAUGAUAAAACAUAUGAAAAUGCCAAAAAAUUUAAAUUAUAAGCAACAUAUGCCUGUUGCAAAGGUAGAUUUUAAUGUUGCCAUGGUGUAAAUUUAGUUGCUAUGGGUUUUUUACUUAGGAAAAUGACUGCAAUCAUAGUGUGCUUUGACCCUGUUAUGUUUUCCAUAUAAAAUGUUUACUAAAAUGACAAAAAAAAUGUUUGUAGAUCUGUCACCAAGGUCCAGAGCAUUAUUAGAUAAGGGGGAGCUAACUCGUAUGUACUCGAACCAAGGAACAGGGGGUCAGUCUAUCGCUAGACUUAAUGUUCUGAUAGGCAUAGCUUAAACGCAAGAAAGGUUUUCAUAAUUUAAUCAAUGAUAACAAUUUAGAUGAAUGAUGAUAAUAAUCAAUUAGUAAACAAUGCCAAAUAAUAAUAAUCUAAUUCAAGUACAAAGUAUCAAAUCUAAAUAUCAAAUCCAAAGUAAGACUAUUUCUCUUAUACUGUAAAAUAUAAAAUAAAUGCCAAAACUACUAAUUCAUAAAAUGAACUUAAUCUCAAAAUCAAAAUGUCAAAGUCUCAAAAAUAUAAUAAUUCUCAAAUAGAAAUUGCUAAAGGUAAUAAAUGUGAGUCAGAGAGAAAUUUUGUCUCAACACUAAACCGUCAACUGGUAGAUUGGUAGACAGUCUUGUAGGUCCAGUAUCAUGUAGUGAGUGGUUAUGGUUCAGAAACACUGACUGCCUUUCCACUACUAAAUAGAGUUUAAUGGUGACUACCCUUGCGGGUAUUGCGCCAGAUUACCUUAUAUAAAAACAUUUCAAAUAAAUGUUUUAAAAUUUAUUAUUAUUUAGGAAUUAACCUGUAUUAUAUAUUCAUAUUGUAGUAAAUUGUGAGUUUUUUUUUUUUUUUUUUUUUUUUUUUUU
Mytilus californianus (California mussel) is the source of this 4959-nucleotide long non-coding RNA. RefSeq lists it as uncharacterized. The record is from RefSeq and is a predicted model, not a curated record. Lineage: Eukaryota; Metazoa; Mollusca; Bivalvia; Mytilida; Mytilidae. The transcript has 2 exons.